UACAGAGGGUGCAAGUGUUGUUCGGAUUUAUUGGGCGUAAAGGGAGUGUAGGUGGGGACUUAAGUCAGUGGUGAAAUUUCGGGGCUUAACCCCGGACUUGCCAUUGAUACUGAGUUCCUUGAGUAUGGAAGAGGGCGAUAGAAUUCCUGGUGUAGCGGUGGAAUGCGUAGAUAUCAGGAGGAAUACCGAUAGCGAAGGCAGUCGCCUGGGACAAUACUGACACUGAAACUCGAAAGCAUGGGGAG
Molecule: ribosomal RNA, 245 nt
Filed under: uncultured bacterium
Lineage: Bacteria
Description: partial 16S ribosomal RNA
Rfam family: Bacterial small subunit ribosomal RNA
Source: RNAcentral